Molecule: small RNA, 107 nt
Filed under: Marmota monax (woodchuck)
Lineage: Eukaryota; Metazoa; Chordata; Mammalia; Rodentia; Sciuridae
Source: RNAcentral
GCUGGGCAUGGUGGCGCAUGCCUGUGAUCCCAGGGGCUUAGGAGUCUGAGACAGGAGAAUCAUGAGUUCAAAGCCAGCUUCAGCAACUCAGUGAGACCCUGUCUCUA